RNAcentral lists this transfer RNA (69 nucleotides) under Amolops chunganensis (Chungan torrent frog). Its description in RNAcentral is "tRNA-Arg". It matches the Rfam family "tRNA". From Rfam's summary of the family: Transfer RNA (tRNA) molecules are approximately 80 nucleotides in length. Their secondary structure includes four short double-helical elements and three loops (D, anti-codon, and T loops). The record is from RNAcentral. Lineage: Eukaryota; Metazoa; Chordata; Amphibia; Anura; Ranidae.
AGGGUGUUAGUCCAAAAAAGACAGUUGAUUUCGGCUCAGCUAAUUAUGGUUUAAAUCCAUAACACCCCU